AAUAGAUACCCCGGUAGUCCACGCCGUAAACGGUGGGCACUAGGUGUGGGCAACAUUCCACGUUGUCCGUGCCGCAGCUAACGCAUUAAGUGCCCCGCCUGGGGAGUACGGCCGCAAGGCUAAAACUCAAAGGAAUUGACGGGGGGCCCGCACAAGCGGCGGAGCAUGUGGCUUAAUUCGACGCAACGCGAAGAACCUUACCAAGGCUUGACAUACACCGGAAAGCAUCAGAGAUGGUGCCCCCCUUGUGGUCGGUGUACAGGUGGUGCAUGGCUGUCGUCAGCUCGUGUCGUGAGAUGUUGGGUUAAGUCCCGCAACGAGCGCAACCCUUGUCCCGUGUUGCCAGCAACUCUUCGGAGGUUGGGGACUCACGGGAGACCGCCGGGGUCAACUCGGAGGAAGGUGGGGACGACGUCAAGUCAUCAUGCCCCUUAUGUCUUGGGCUGCACACGUGCUACAAUGGCCGGUACAAUGAGCUGCGAUACCGCAAGGUGGAGCGAAUCUCAAAAAGCCGGUCUCAGUUCGGAUUGGGGU
This 534-nucleotide ribosomal RNA is filed under the name uncultured bacterium. RNAcentral describes it as "bacterial SSU rRNA". It matches the Rfam family "Bacterial small subunit ribosomal RNA", at positions 777 to 1304 of the family's 1533-position model. The record is from RNAcentral.